UCCAGACUCCUACGGGAGGCAGCAGUGGGGAAUAUUGCGCAAUGGGGGAAACCCUGACGCAGCAACGCCGCGUGAGUGAAGAAGUAUCUCGGUAUGUAAAGCUCUAUCAGCGGGGAAGAAGGAAGACGGUACCCGACUAAGAAGCCCCGGCUAACUACGUGCCAGCAGCCGCGGUAAUACGUAGGGGGCGAGCGUUAUCCGGAUUUACUGGGUGUAAAGGGAGCGUAGACGGCGGCGCAAGUCUGAAGUGAAAGCCCGUGGCUCAACCGCGGGACUGCUUUGGAAACUGUGUUGCUGGAGUGCUGGAGAGGCAAGCGGAAUUCCUAGUGUAGCGGUGAAAUGCGUAGAUAUUAGGAAGAACACCAGUGGCGAAGGCGGCUUGCUGGACAGUAACUGACGUUGAGGCUCGAAAGCGUGGGGAGCAAACAGGAUUAGAUACCCUGGUAU
RNAcentral lists this ribosomal RNA (447 nucleotides) under uncultured bacterium. RNAcentral's name for it is "bacterial SSU rRNA". It matches the Rfam family "Bacterial small subunit ribosomal RNA", at positions 330 to 793 of the family's 1533-position model. The record is from RNAcentral.